UCGAGAAUUUUUCACAAUGGGCGCAAGCCUGAUGGAGCGACGCCGCGUGGGGGAUGAAUGGCUUCGGCCCGUAAACCCCUGUCAUUCGCGAUCAAACCUCGUUAUUUAAAAGAUGACGAGCUGAUAGUAGCGGAAGAGGAAGGGACGGCUAACUCUGUGCCAGCAGCCGCGGUAAUACAGAGGUCCCAAGCGUUGUUCGGAUUCACUGGGCGUAAAGGGUGCGUAGGUGGCAUGGUAAGUCGGAUGUGAAAUCUCCGAGCUCAACUCGGAAAUGGCAUUGGAAACUACCUUGCUAGAGGAUUGGAGGGGGGACUGGAAUUCUCGGUGUAGCAGUGAAAUGCGUAGAUAUCGAGAGGAACACCAGUGGCGAAGGCGAGUCCCUGGACAAUACCUGACACUGAGGCACGAAAGCUAGGGGAGCAAACAGGAUUAGAUACCCGGGUAGUCC
Molecule: ribosomal RNA, 448 nt
Filed under: uncultured bacterium
Lineage: Bacteria
Description: bacterial SSU rRNA
Rfam family: Bacterial small subunit ribosomal RNA
Source: RNAcentral